GUAGGGAAUAUUGGACAAUGGGGGCAACCCUGAUCCAGCGACGCCGCGUGAGUGAUGAAGGCCUUCGGGUCGUAAAGCUCUGUUGCAGGGGAAGAACACAAUGACGGUACCCUGCUAGAAAGGAUCGGCUAACUUCGUGCCAGCAGCCGCGGUAAGACGAGGGAUCCUAGCGUUGUUCGGAAUUAUUGGGCGUAAAGCGGGUGCAGGUGGCUUGGUAAGUCAGAUGUGAAAGCCUGGGGCUUAACCCCAGAAGUGCAUUUGAUACUGCUGAGCUUGAGUGCUGGAGAGGCUAUUAGAAUUCCUGGUGUAGUGGUGAAAUACGUAGAUAUCAGGAGGAAUACCGGAGGCGAAGGCGGAUAGCUGGCCAGACACUGACACUGAGAGACGAAAGCGAGGGGAGCAAAAGGGAUUAGAUACCCUAGUAGUCC
Molecule: ribosomal RNA, 428 nt
Filed under: uncultured bacterium
Lineage: Bacteria
Description: partial 16S ribosomal RNA
Rfam family: Bacterial small subunit ribosomal RNA
Source: RNAcentral